This 622-nucleotide ribosomal RNA is filed under the name uncultured delta proteobacterium. RNAcentral's name for it is "bacterial SSU rRNA". It matches the Rfam family "Bacterial small subunit ribosomal RNA", at positions 813 to 1432 of the family's 1533-position model. Lineage: Bacteria; Deltaproteobacteria. The record is from RNAcentral.
AUGCUAGAUGUCGGGCCUUAACCGGUUCGGUGUCGAAGUUAACGCGAUAAGCAUCCCGCCUUGGGGAGUACGUUCGCAAGGCUGAAACUCAAAGGAAUUGACGGGGGCCCGCACAAGCGGUGGAGUAUGUGGUUUAAUUCGAUGCAACGCGAAGAACCUUACCUGGACUUGACAUCCUGAGAAUCCUCUAGAAAUAGAGGAGUGCCCUUCGGGGAAUUCAGUGACAGGUGCUGCAUGGCUGUCGUCAGCUCGUCCCGUGAGGUGUUGGGUUAAGUCCCGCAACGAGCGCAACCCCUAUUGCUAGUUGCCAUCACAUAAUGGUGGGCACUCUAGUGAGACUGCCCGGGUCAACCGGGAGGAAGGUGGGGACGACGUCAAGUCAUCAUGGCCCUUACGUCCAGGGCUACACACGUACUACAAUGGUGGAUACAGAGGGUCGCGAAGCCGCGAGGUCGAGCCAAUCCCAGAAAAUCCAUCCCAGUCCGGAUCGCAGUCUGCAACUCGACUGUGUGAAGUUGGAAUCGCUAGUAAUCCCAGAUCAGCAUGCUGGGGUGAAUACGUUCCCGGGCCUUGUACACACCGCCCGUCACACCACGAAAGCUGGUUACACCCAAAAUAGACA